RNAcentral lists this ribosomal RNA (253 nucleotides) under uncultured bacterium. Its description in RNAcentral is "partial 16S ribosomal RNA". It matches the Rfam family "Bacterial small subunit ribosomal RNA", at positions 524 to 776 of the family's 1533-position model. The record is from RNAcentral.
UACGUAGGGGGCAAGCGUUGUCCGGAUUUAUUGGGCGUAAAGAGCGUGUAGGCGGCCAGGCAGGUCCGUUGUGAAAACUCGAGGCUCAACCUCGAGACGUCGAUGGAAACCGUCUGGCUAGAGUCCGGAAGAGGAGAGUGGAAUUCCUGGUGUAGCGGUGAAAUGCGCAGAUAUCAGGAAGAACACCUAUGGCGAAGGCAGCUCUCUGGGACGGUACUGACGCUGAGACGCGAAAGCGUGGGGAACAAACAGG